GGGGCGGGCCCAAUAGAGGGGGAUAACCACUGGAAACGGUGGCUAAUACCGCAUAAUCUCUUAGGAGCAAAGCGGGGGAACUUCGGUCCUUGCGCUAUCGGAUGAACCCAUAUGGGAUUAGCUAGUAGGUGGGGUAAUGGCUCACCUAGGCGACGAUCCCUAGCUGGUCUGAGAGGAUGAUCAGCCACACUGGGACUGAGACACGGCCCAGACUCCUACGGGAGGCAGCAGUGGGGAAUAUUGCACAAUGGGCGCAAGCCUGAUGCAGCCAUGCCGCUGUAUGAAGAAGGCCCUAGGGUUGUAAAGUACUUUCAGUCGGGAGGAAGGCGUUGAUGCUAAUAUCAUCACGAUUGACGUUACCGACAGAAGAAGCACCGGCUAACUCCGUGCCAGCAGCCGCGGUAAUACGGAGGGUCAAGCGUUAAUCGGAAUUACUGGGCGUAAAGCGCACGCAGGCGGUUGAUUAAGUUAGAUGUGAAAUCCCCGGCUUAACCUGGGAAUGGCAUCUAAGACUGGUCAGCUAGAGUCUUGUAGAGGGGGGUAGAAUUCCAUGUUAGCGGUGAAAUGCGUAGAGAUGUGGAGGAAUACCGGUGGCGAAGGCGGCCCCCUGGACAAAGACUGAGCUCAGGUGCGAAAGCGUGGGGGAGCAAACAGGAUUAGAUACCCUGGUAGUCCACGCUGUAAACGAUGUCGAUUUGGAAGGUUGUUCCCUUGAGGAGUGGCUUUCGGAGCUAACGCGUUAAAUCGACCGCCUGGGGAGUACGGCCGCAAGGUUAAAACUCAAUGAAAUUGACGGGGGCCCGCACAGCGGUGGAGCAUGUGGUUUAUUCGAUGCAACGCGAAGAACCUACUACUCUGACAUCCAGAAGAUCAGUAGAGAUGCUUUAGUGCUUCGGACUCUUGAAAAGUGCUGCAUGCUGUCGUCAGUUGUUUGGAAUGGUAGGUAGUUCGCACGGCUACCCUAUCUUGUGCAGCGAUCAGUCGGCAUCCAUG
Molecule: ribosomal RNA, 993 nt
Filed under: Providencia vermicola
Lineage: Bacteria; Pseudomonadati; Pseudomonadota; Gammaproteobacteria; Enterobacterales; Morganellaceae
Description: bacterial SSU rRNA
Rfam family: Bacterial small subunit ribosomal RNA
Source: RNAcentral